CUGGGGUUUUGUAUAUGGGUAGUUUAGGCUAUACUAGGUUUGCUUAGUUGCUCUACUCAUCUUAUACACAUGCCUAAACAAGUAUUACUCUCUACAUAACUUGAUGCUUAAACUGUGCUGAACCUUUGGUCAUUGCGGUGAUGGCGAUGUUGGAUGCUUACGAGCAUCGUGAUGAUGGUGGCGACAGGGGGAGCGGGUACUGUUGGUGGUCCGGUUUGCCGGGCAUACCCGUCUCUGCUCUCCGUAAGGACUUAGUCAGGGAGCGGCCCCCUGGGACAUACAGUGCAGCUCCAAGCUAUAUGGCUCUGGCUUGACUAAUUAGCAGGACCUCCACUAGUAGGGUGUUACUUUCCGGGUAGGCGUGAGGAAGUAACUUGGGUAAUGAAUAUUAAGUUGUCGGUUGAUCGGUACGCCAUGGCUAUGGGUAUCGACUGCCGAGCGCCCCGGUAAAAACUUGCGAGUGGCAUCCUAUUAGUUGGACCCUGUGAAAGGUCUCGUAGUGAGACCCUGCCUGCUCACCUUGGCAGUGUUUUGGAGAGUCAUGACCCCAGGCAAAUGGGAAUCACGACUUGGAGUGAACGUGCACACCUCUGCAGAGUGUAAAACUGAUAUAUCAGCCGUGCUCACAGUCACGAGCGGCCCAGACCCUCACUUGAUGAGCAAAUUAGAUUCACUGGAUACUUGGAGAUGGAACUUGGCGAGGUUGCUACCUCGUGUUUUGGCGGAAUGGCUAUUCCGUGUUGGCCGGAUUGCUAUCCUGUGUUAAUAAUUGGGGUUAAUCCCUGGACUACUAUAAUUAUUAGGAUAGUCAUUUAAAAGAUGCUAAUCACUACUUACACUAAUAAAGGGUUGGGUUUAUGCUACUCAUAAUUAGUAGUAGGUUGUUCUAAUAAUAGUCAUAAUUAAAAGUGAUCAACUAAAAUGCUACCGCAGUCAAACCAAGUCAGCUUUACCUUGUUUUAAGCCUUGCAUGUCAUUACUUUCCGUCUGUGCUUGCUGAGUUCGACAUGAACUCACCCUUGCUAUUCCCCCCACACCCCAGUGUGUAGUAAAGUGCUGCUCAGAAGAAGAACAAAGAUGUUAUGGAGUUUUCUAGAAGCUUAUCAGAAGUGCUUGGCGUACGGAGCCCCCAGUCAACCGUCCCUGAGAAGAAUGGAGCCUAAGAAGUUUAGCUACUGUUUCCGCGUACUCUGAUGUUUGUAAGUGUUAAUAUAAAUAUGUUUUCCGCUAUAUAACAUUGUUUCUGAUAUUUCUAUUCUUUUGUUAUAUGUGUGGACUUCCUGGGCACACAUAUGACGACUCUGGUCUUAUUUUAAAAGCCAGGGUGUGACAGGAAUGGUAUCAGAGCAAUGUUGACUGUAGGACGUAUGCCUAGAUAGCGCUGGUCGAUUUCUAAAGCUUAUUUUGCUAUAAAACUAUUUUCUUAUACCUUGACCCUUGAUUCUGAUUAUUUCUUCAUCCUUGUCAUGUUGUAUCCCCUCCUUGAAUAGCUUCCUUUGAGCUAUUUCUACUAAUCUCCUUGGCUUUUGUUUAGUUGUUCUACUUAAGUUUACAAAACUUGCUUUAUUCCAAAAUUCGAUGACCCUUCAUCAUCUCGGACUUGCCUUUUAGGAUGACCAUCACUGUUGAAGAAGUUCGUGUAGUGUCGAUGAUGUAUUGUAUGCUUGUCUUGCUUGUUUGUAUUGCUUGUGUGUUAUCCUUGUUCUCAUGUUCUGAAGGAUGCCCAGUUUAUUUUGAUCCAUGUUAUGUGGGGUAGAUCCUCUACCACUCUUGAUAUCUUGAACAAAAGGAAGUUUGAAGAUUGUCUCUUGUUUAUCUCCCUUGCCUCCUCGAAUCUCAGGACAUGAUUCUUAUUAAUUUGGAGGGUGUUAUGUUGUGUUUAAAGUGGAGAAUCCUCUAAGCUAGUUUUCCUACAAUAUGAUGUUCACCUAUAUGUUCUCGAAGAUAAGCCAUACUUUGUCAGAGUGGGGUAGCGUCCGCUACCGUCAUCUAUCUCAAGUAUCCCUAGUUUCAGGACACGAAGAACUAAAGAUCAAUCUUUAUCUUUCAUCUCUAUUAUUUUUGUCAACAAUUUUUAUCUUUCUUGUUAAUCUCUCUUUAUCAUUUUAGUUAUCAUUCUUCAUCUCUCUUAUCACCAUUUGCGAUCUUGGAUGGUUGUUGCAUUUCGUAAAAUCUCAAAAGAAUCUUAAAGAACAACCUUUAUCCUUCCUACCAACCCUUGUGAGUCUACAAUCCUUUCAUCAUCUCACACCAAAGAUCUUGAAAAAAAACUUGGAAGAUUAAUCUCCAUCUUCUUUGUCAAGCUUGGCUAAUUCUCAAUCAUUUUAUCUUAAAUCCCAUAAAUCUUGAAUGAAGAAAAUAUGAGCACUAUAAGAUCUAUUUUUUAUCUUUUAUACCAUCUUUUGCUAGUCCUAGCUCCUUAUCUUUACACCUCGUAAUGUGAAGACUCGAUGAUCAAUCUUUAUCUAUUUUUUCUCACAUCCUUAUAUAUUUCUUUUCAAUAUAUCUUGACCUUCAAUAAAGCCUGAUAAGUAUCAUGGAUAUCAAUCCUUGUCUUUAUUAAAUCUGUAAUCCUUUCAUCAAUCAAUCGUUAACAUCCUUGUCAACUUUUGGUAGUCCUUAGUUCUUUCAUCACAUCUCUCGUAAAUCUUGAAUCAAGAAAAUGGUGAGCACCAUAAGAUCAUUUUUGUCAUUUCUCUAUCAAACCUUGUUAAAUUUUUUUUACCCUUUUAUCAUAUCUCAUAUAAAAAAAAUUCUCACACUCAACCUUGAUGAUCUACUUCAUCUUUCUCACAAGUCUUUCCAAAUAUCGGGACGAGAUUCAUGUUAAGUGGGGUAGAUCUAUAACACCCCAAAAUUCUUAUUUUGAGUUGUUAUUAUAAAUCAAUAAAAAAAUAAAGGGUUUUAAUAUGUGGAUAAAAUUUGCCAACAAUAGUUUAGAUUUUUAUAUUUUUAUCAACGAAAAGUGGUGUUUUUCAAAUGUUAUGGAAUUAACUAGACGAGCUUUAGUUGAUGUGAUGCUUGCUUAUUACUUGAGUUUGUUAUUUUUAUGUGUGCUAAGAUUUUAAAAACACGUUUAGACGUCGUCCGAUGCUUCCCGAGAAUUUUUCGGACUUUUUAAGACUUUUCCCCAUUUUUCUAAAAUAAAAAUCUAAUUUUGGAUGCUCUAAAUUCUUUUUCAUAGACACCAAAAACUUUAUUUGGAUUGAUCAACUCUCAAUAUAUCUCUAAAAGUUUUCCUUUAAUUUUUAGAAUUUUGGAAAUAUUUUUUUCAGGAAUUUAAAAUGAUUUCAGCUUUUUCUAGAAUUAUUUUGGAACUGAAAAUAAUUUAUUUAAAAUCCCGAAAUUAAGAAAUUCCAAAACUUUUCCAAACCCUAGACCUAUAUAUAUGCCGGCGUAGCCCUCGACGCGCUGAUUCCAGAAGUACGAUCGCUUUCCCGAGCCGCCUUUCGUAGCUCCGCAGAUCCAUCGCCGAAGUUUUGGAUCUCGUUUCCGGUGAACUUUUCCGGUGAAAGUUCGGCGAGGUUUUCCGGCCAACUCCGGCGUCCUCUGCGAAAACCGUCACCGCUGCGAGGUUCGUCUCGUCGUCCUCUACACCGGCACGCCAUUCGUUUUGUAAAUCCGGGCUAGUUUACUGUUUCCCUAACCUCUCUUCUUUUCCGGCGAACUUUAUCCAUGGCCGGCAUCGUCUUCAUCACCUCCGGCGAUUCCUUGUACCAGCAGCUGGACGUCGCCGCCUCAGACUCGCGACCCCAGCCGGACCAGCGCGCGGCCUCGUGCGCCCCUGCUUGCGAGCAGCAGGACGCCGCCGCUGCCUCGUGCAGCACGGCUGCCCCUUGCAGCCCUGUCUCGGACGGCCGCCGCCACAGGCCUUGCUCGGCUUGGAGCCGCCCUCUGGCUCGCCAAGGUCCUGGUCGUUCCCCGUCGCUGGCCGGCCAGGCGGCCGUCCCUGGCCCCCGUCCGUGUGAGCAGCGGCAGACCCUUGGCCAUGUACGGAUGACUCAAGGUAGAAGAUGAAAGUAAUUACAAGUUUGCCACUGGUCAUUAAUCCUUUGUCAUUGAAUCGUUCUAACUCCGUUUCAUUCCGUUUUAAUUGCGUUAGUUUCGUAACGUCGCGCUCUACGCAGUAGUGCUAACUUUUAUUUUGUCAUAUUUUUUUUAUAUAUAUAUUUAGUUGAAUAUUAGAUUAAUUAAUAUAUGCACCUAAAUCUAUAAUUAAAAGCAAUAUAGAGUUAUAAUCAUGAUUUCUAUUGUUUUAUGACCAUGACAACGUAAAUGACUUGUUAGCGAUACUGUUUUCCAUGUCCCAUGUUUGUAAAUAUAAUUAGUUUAAUUAAUAUUUAUUGAGUGUCAUUUUUUAAUUAAUAAAAAAACAAUUUAGGUUUACACUUUGGUAUUUUUAUAAUCUAAUAUUAACUUGAUUAAUGUUAACUUAAAUAUUUAUUAGUUAUAAUUCUUUUAGUUAGACAUAAAGUAUAUAAUUAAUUUGUUUAAUAUUUAUUUAAUGUCUUUUUGGAUUAAAGUAACUUAUGUUUAUAAUUUAGAUCUUUUAUAAAUAAAUAAAUGUUAACAUUAUUAAUAUCAACUUAAAUGGUUCUUUAUUAGUUAUAACUUGUUAUAUAAAUGUGACGCAUGUUAGGAUUUGAUUAGUUGCUCUCACUUGCUUUGUGUUUUCUAAAAUUACAAAGGCGUAAAUAGCUUAAAUGAUAUAUAAUCAUCUACAAUUAAAAUAUAACUGAAAUUUAACUCCGGCUUUUAUAAUUCAACAUAAUUUGGUUAAUCUAAAAUUAGGAUAGUUCUAUUAAAUGUCUGUCAUUUUAUUUCAUUAAAUAAAAUACGACCAGCGUGUAGUCGUCUUCUUCGUUACACUUCGAACCUCGAAAGUCGUAUCUGUUUAACGAUAGCUCCGUUCUCAACCGUUCUUGCGUUGUCACGAUCGUAGCAAUAAGCCGUGUCGUUUAGUGCGCUCUUUCUAAGCUUUUCUUUUGAUUGAUGCUUGUUCUUAGUCGUGAUUGUUUGUUUGUCUGUUGGUGUUGCUUGUUUGCUACGAGUAGAAGAAGCGUGGUUCAUCAACAGUGAAGAUCAGUUGCUGAGGACCGACAGUCGAAGCAGAAGUUGGAGAUCAGAAGAAAGAAGCCAAAGAAUUCUGAGCAGAUAUACACUAGGAAUUAAGGCAAGUGCAGACACCGUUUGAUCAUUUUGAACCUAUUCAUUAAUGCCAUUUACUUUAUUACGCAUGUGUCCAAUGAAUGCAAACCCUAAGGACAUGACUAGCUUUACUUACUAUUCCUUGUUCACCUGGGGUUUUGUAUAUGGAUAGUUUAGGCUAUACUAGGUUUGCUUAGCUGCUCUACUCAUCUUAUACACAUGCCUAAACAAGUAUUACUCUCUACAUAACUUGAUGCUUAAACUGUGCUGAACCUUUGGUCAUUGCGGUGAUGGCGAUGUUGGAUGCUUACGAGCAUCGUGAUGAUGGUGGCGACAGGGGGAGCGGGUACUGUUGGUGGUCCGGUUUGCCGGGCGUACCCGUCUCUGCUCUCCGUAAGGACUUAGUCAGGGAGCGGCCCCCUGGGACAUACAGUGCA
Molecule: long non-coding RNA, 5585 nt
Filed under: Sorghum bicolor (sorghum)
Lineage: Eukaryota; Viridiplantae; Streptophyta; Magnoliopsida; Poales; Poaceae
Description: long non-coding RNA (SBIC_LNC016064)
Source: RNAcentral